GACGAGCGCUGGCGGCGUGCUUAACACAUGCAAGUCGAACGGUGAAGCGCCUUCCUUUUUGGUGGGUGUGGAUGAGUGGCGAACGGGUGAGUAACACGUGAGUAACCUGCCCCCUUCUUCUGGAUAACCGCAUGAAAGUGUGGCUAAUACGGGAUAUUCUGGGUCUGUCGCAUGAUGGGUCUGGGAAAGAUAUUGUUUCGGUGGGGGAUGGGCUCGCGGCCUAUUAGCUUGUUGGUGGGGUGAUGGCCUACCAAGGCGGUGACGGGUAGCCGGCCUGAGAGGGUGGACGGUCACACUGGGACUGAGACACGGCCCAGACUCCUGCGGGAGGCAGCAGUGGGGAAUAUUGCACAAUGGGCGCAAGCCUGAUGCAGCGACGCCGCGUGAGGGAUGGAGGCCUGCGGGUUGUGAACCUCUUUCGCCAGUGAAGCAGGCCUGCCUCGUUUGUGGGUGGGUUGACGGUAGCUGGAGAAGAAGCGCCGGCUAACUACGUG
This 494-nucleotide ribosomal RNA is filed under the name uncultured bacterium. Its description in RNAcentral is "partial 16S ribosomal RNA". It matches the Rfam family "Bacterial small subunit ribosomal RNA", at positions 28 to 507 of the family's 1533-position model. The record is from RNAcentral.